UGGGGAAUAUUGCGCAAUGGGCGAAAGCCUGACGCAGCAACGCCGCGUGAAUGAUGAAGGUCUUAGGAUUGUAAAGUUCUUUCGCUCGUGACGAUGAUGACGGUAACGAGAGAAGAAGCCCCGGCUAACUUCGUGCCAGCAGCCGCGGUAAUACGAAGGGGGCUAGCGUUGUUCGGAAUUACUGGGCGUAAAGCGCGCGUAGGCGGUUUUGCAAGCCAGAGGUGAAAUGCCUGAGCUCAACUUAGGAAUUGCCUUUGGGACUGCGAGGCUUUGAGGACGAGAGAGGUGAGUGGAAUUCCCAGUGUAGAGGUGAAAUUCGUAGAUAUUGGGAAGAACACCGGUGGCGAAGGCGGCUCACUGGCUCGUUUCUGACGCUGAGACGCGAAAGCGUGGGGAGCAAACAGGAUUAGAUACCCCUGUAGUCCCUGAGCGGGCUGGCAAGGCGCAU
RNAcentral lists this ribosomal RNA (448 nucleotides) under uncultured bacterium. RNAcentral describes it as "bacterial SSU rRNA". It matches the Rfam family "Bacterial small subunit ribosomal RNA", at positions 355 to 825 of the family's 1533-position model. The record is from RNAcentral.